GACAAACGCUGGCGGCGUGCCUAAUACAUGCAAGUCGAACGGUCCUCCUUCGGGGGGAUAGUGGCGGACGGGUGAGUAACACGUAGAUGACCUGCCCUUUAGUGGGGAAUAACAUCUCGAAAGAGAUGCUAAUACCGCAUAAGUUGUGCUCUGUUGGGAGUACAAGAAACGCUCUUCUUGACCGAAGAGUGGCUGGAGGAGGGGUCUGCGGCGGAUUAGCUAGUUGGUGAGGAACGGCCCACCAAGGCGACGAUCCGUAGCUGGUCUGAGAGGACGGCCAGCCACACUGGGACUGAGACACGGCCCAGACUCCUACGGGAGGCAGCAGUAAGGAAUAUUCCGCAAUGGGCGAAAGCCUGACGGAGCGACGCCGCCGUGAAGGAGGAAG
RNAcentral lists this ribosomal RNA (388 nucleotides) under uncultured bacterium. Its description in RNAcentral is "bacterial SSU rRNA". It matches the Rfam family "Bacterial small subunit ribosomal RNA", at positions 28 to 413 of the family's 1533-position model. The record is from RNAcentral.